UUUCAACGGAUGGGAAUCGAACCCACGACCUUCCGCUUACCGGGCAGAUGCCAUGACCACUAGGCUACCCUGGA
This 74-nucleotide transfer RNA is filed under the name Cordylochernes scorpioides. Its description in RNAcentral is "tRNA-Thr". The record is from RNAcentral. Lineage: Eukaryota; Metazoa; Arthropoda; Arachnida; Pseudoscorpiones; Chernetidae.